UGCUAGUCAGCGCUUUCUAGCUAAUGUGAGAGCGCGGCAUACAGCUCAGUAUCACGUGGCUAACCUGCCCUUGGGACGGAAACACCCCCGGGAAACUGGGGCUAAUUUCCGAUAGGUGAAAAACUCUGGAAUGAAUUUUCGCUCAAAAGACGUUUAUGUCAUGCUCAUAGACGUUGCCCAGGGAUGGGGCCGCGACCGAUCAGGUUGUUGGUGAGGUAAUGGCUCACCAAGCCUUUUACCGGUACGGGCCGUGAGAGCGGGAGCCCGGAGAUGGGCACUGAGACAAGGGCCCAGGCCCUACGGGGCGCAGCAGUCGCGAAAACUUUGCAAUACACGAAAGUGUGACAAGGCUAUCCCGAGUGCCAUCCGCUGAGGAAGGCUUUUACCCAGUAUAAAUAGCUGGGAGAAUAAGGAGAGGGCAAGUCUGGUGUCAGCCGCCGCGGUAAUACCAGCUCUCCGAGUAGUGUGGAUGUUUAUUGGGCCUAAAGCAUCCGUAGCUUGCUAAGCAAGUCCCCUGUUAAAUCCACCGAUUCAAUCGGUGGAUUGCGGGGGAUACUGUUUGGCUAGGGGACGGGAGAGGCCGACGGUAUUCCCGGGGUAGGGGUGAAAUCCUAUAAUCCCGGGAGGACCACCAGUGGCGAAGGCUGCUGACUUGAACACGCCUGACGGUGAGGGACGAAAGCUGGGGUAGCGAAUCGGAUUAGAUACC
Molecule: ribosomal RNA, 709 nt
Filed under: uncultured archaeon
Lineage: Archaea
Description: bacterial SSU rRNA
Rfam family: Archaeal small subunit ribosomal RNA
Source: RNAcentral